Molecule: long non-coding RNA, 1366 nt
Organism: Alnus glutinosa
Lineage: Eukaryota; Viridiplantae; Streptophyta; Magnoliopsida; Fagales; Betulaceae
Exons: 3
Source: RefSeq, a predicted model, not a curated record
CUACUAAAUAAUUUGAUUCUUAAAAAUUUGAAAAAUGAUAUUUUGUCUUCGUACAAAUCUUAAAAAAAUAAAAAUAAAAAUAAAAUAAAAUAUCUCGGCCCCCUCAAAAUUAUGAAAGGCCUCCAAAAUCUCAAAAUUUUAAAGUAGCUUAAGCUAUAAAUAUAGGCAAAAUUCUGUUUAUAUGUAAGUAAGGAGCACAUGGGCAGGACUCCAAAAUCUGUUUAUAUGCUUCUGAUAUUCAUUAUCUUCAUCUUCAUUACAAGUGUGGCAAUAGAAGAAGAGAUUUCCCAUAAAUAUUGCUGGCGUUUGAGCACAACAUGGUAUAAAAGAUGUCGAUUGACACUACACUGUGAUACAAAAUGCAAAGAAUUGGAGCAAGCCGAUCACGGAGCAUGCGGGCGGUCUUCUUUGUAGUCCUUUAAACGUAAAUGUUACUGCGGCUUCAAGUGUUGAAAUAUGAGAUAUGAUACGUUUAUAAUCUUUGUACAAUUCCCGUCCAACCUUUUUUCAAAGUAGCCAUUGAAUAUGUUUUCCUAUAUGUGAGUCAUAUAUAUGUCUAAUGGUUGAUUUUUUUUUAAAAAAAAAAUGUUGAAAAAAAAAAUUAUUGAAAUUGGAUUGGAAUUGUACAAAAGUUGUAAAUGUAUCGUAUCUUAUUGAUUAUAGGCAAUUUGAAACAGGGGAGAAUGGGUUGUUUUUGGAGGUGCUAUGUGAAUUUUUCACAUGCAAGAUCGGUGCCCCCGAACCACCCACCCAAACCACCCGGCACCACCACCCUGGAACACGUCGGCAUCGCCACCUCCAAGACAGUCACCGCCAAGCGUCCAUUUUCGAAGGCCAUGGACGGGCGGCUACUGAGCUCGGGAAAGAUUCGGCAGGAACCCACGCACACCGGCGUGGGUUUGAGAGAUCCAGCCGGAAAUCCAGAUCCGUCCGGAAAACCAUGCCGUCCAGAGCCCAGAUCCAUCCAUGCGUCCCGAUCCAAACCCAGAUCCGACCAGAAAACCGCCUAGAUCCGGCCGAGCGUCCCUACCCAUCAUCCCUAUCCCGCCGGCCUUCCAAAUCCCGUCGUCCCGAGCUUCUUCGCAGGCCGGAAAGAGAGAGAGAGAGAGAGAGAGAGAGAGAGAGUUUUGUUUUUAAAAAAAGAAGAAAAAGUUGGUUUGACUGUUGCAAUCAAUGCUACCAGUCUGAAAAGCAGGUCGAGCAUGUCAUCAUUUCACGGUUUUCACCUCAAAAUUCAAACCAUAUUCAAGCAUCAUUCGGGUUUUAUUCGGGUUGGUUCCAGGUUCCGGGUUUUUGAAAAAAAACCCAAUUGGAAUGUUGAAAAACAUUCGAACCAAACACACCAUAAUUACUCUGUUUGGCAACA